RNAcentral lists this ribosomal RNA (900 nucleotides) under Alteromonadales bacterium. Its description in RNAcentral is "bacterial SSU rRNA". It matches the Rfam family "Bacterial small subunit ribosomal RNA", at positions 585 to 1484 of the family's 1533-position model. The record is from RNAcentral. Lineage: Bacteria; Pseudomonadati; Pseudomonadota; Gammaproteobacteria; Alteromonadales.
AAGUCAGAUGUGAAAGCCCAGGGCUCAACCUGGGAACUGCAUUUGAAACUGGUUGACUAGAGUUUUGUAGAGGGUGGUAGAAUUUCAGGUGUAGCGGUGAAAUGCGUAGAGAUCUGAAGGAAUACCAGUGGCGAAGGCGGCCACCUGGACAAAGACUGACACUGAGGCGCGAAGGCGUGGGGAGCAAACGGGAUUAGAUACCCCGGUAGUCCACGCAGUAAACGAUGUCUAUUAGAAGUUUGUGGCUAUAUGCCGUGGGUUUCAAAGCUAACGCAUUAAAUAGACCGCCUGGGGAGUACGGCCGCAAGGUUAAAACUCAAAUGAAUUGACGGGGGCCCGCACAAGCGGUGGAGCAUGUGGUUUAAUUCGAUGCAACGCGAAGAACCUUACCAUCCCUUGACAUCCAGAGAAUCACCUAGAGAUAGAUGAGUGCCUUCGGGAACUCUGAGACAGGUGCUGCAUGGCUGUCGUCAGCUCGUGUUGUGAAAUGUUGGGUUAGGUCCCGCAACGAGCGCAACCCUUAUCCUUAGUUGCCAGCACGUAAUGGUGGGAACUCUAGGGAGACUGCCGGUGAUAAACCGGAGGAAGGUGGGGACGACGUCAAGUCAUCAUGGCCCUUACGGGAUGGGCUACACACGUGCUACAAUGGCAAAUACAAAGGGUUGCUAACCUGCGAGGGUAUGCGAAUCUCAUAAAGUUUGUCGUAGUCCGGAUCGGAGUCUGCAACUCGACUCCGUGAAGUUGGAAUCGCUAGUAAUCGUGGAUCAGAAUGCCACGGUGAAUACGUUCCCGGGCCUUGUACACACCGCCCGUCACACCAUGGGAGUGGGCUGCACCAGAAGUCAUUAGCUUAACCUUCGGGAUGGCGAUGACCACGGUGUGGUUCAUGACUGGGGUGAA